UGAAGAUUUAUUCUAGCAGGUAAGUUGUUAUUGUGCAUUACAAUUACUUGUAUAAUCAUUGUUUAUAUUAUAAUUACUGUAACAGACAUACAGACAUUCCAACUGAGAAUUUAUUUUAGUAUAUUAAUUGUAUUAGUAUUAUUUGAAACUGAAAUGGAAAACAUUUGGUUCAUUCAGUUCCAAAAAUGGAGACAAGUUUUAUCCAUUUUUGAUUUCCCUUUCUUCCUUCUUAAAGCUAAAAUGAGAAAGAAAAAUGUGAAAAAGGUCAAAGGUCACUGAUUAAAGAAAAAGUCUUCAUACUGUAUAUACUAAAAAUCUCCUUAUAAACCAGUCCCAGGGUAAAAAUGUAGCUCCUUAAUAAUAAUAUCAAUAAAAUCUGAUGCUGUUAUCGAGCAUUUGAAUAUGUUAAUAUACAUAUCUGAAUAUGUUAAGAUUAUGUUAUAUGUUCAUUUCCAUUCUGAUUUUAGACAGUCUCCCUCUCAAACUUAUUUUUGGUGUGUUUCAUUAUAACAGACAGGCAACUGAAAUCUAUAUGUGGUCACAACUUCCAUACCAUAAAAGAUUUUACGGUUAUCAAUGUGUUAUUUUUAAUAUGUUUAGAGAAGUCAUUAGCUUUUCAUUUCUAUGGACUGUCCAUUACAGUAACAUUUCUCUUUGAUAUUUUCAUUUCACUUUGUCCCAUCAGUGUCCCUCGUUCUUCACUCAUCAGCUUUAGGAUUAACAGGGCAUGUUUGGACCCGCAGCUCUAGAGUCAAUCAUUAAACACACAUGCACACAUGCAUCACCUCUGAGCCAACACAAACUAUCCCACAAUCCCUAGACAGCAGAAGCGAGUGUCAGAAGGGAUGGGACUGUAUUUGCCCUCAUUCCUAAGAGGAAUCAGGUGCUUUCUGUCACCUGGGUUACCGGAUCUCCAUGGAUGUCACAACCAACCCGCUGCCUGAACUGAGUGGCACGGCCCCACCGAGAUCUGCCCCAAUCUGAUCUGGAGUCAGUCAGCUGGAUGUCACUCCCAGUCUUUCUAAGAGUAGAGGGAGAAAGUCACAGAUGAAGACCAGAUGAAUACAGUUGAGCUGUUGAAACACCUUUAGAAUGAUGGAACACAACAUGAUUUUGGAAAAUAAACCGAUCGAGGACGACUGCCAUCUAAAAUGCAAGCGACACCUCAUCAGUUUGUUCGGUGAAUCAGCUGCAGAGUAUUUUCUCAGCCCUUCCUCUUGCUCGAAGGAAAUACCCUCUUGGUUUUUACAGCUAAAAGAUGACAUGAAAGUCUGCUGUCUGUUAUUAGAUCACAUGAGUACAGUUACCCUAUGGGAUGCUCUGAGACAACGCUCUGCACAGAUACUGCAAGAAUCAAACACAGAGCCCUCGAUGGCGAUUACUAAUGAGAUUGUGAGAAGGGUGACAGACUGGAAGACACUCAAGAAACAGGAUCAUCUGAUGUACCUAUCAGAGGUGAAAUACAUGUUCCGCUGUGCUCAGCGUAACCAGGCCAUCUCUGCACUCCUUCUACAACAUAACCCUCUUUUUGACUAUGGGUUAAAUAAUGGACUGAACUGAUUCCUGUCUAUUAUGCAGAAUCAACCAAAUGGUGAGGUGAAACAUCAACACAAGGGGAGUGUUGAAAUCAGGGAUAUGUCUCAGAUGAGCAAGACAUUUAGGACAUAGGCAAACUGUAUUUUUUUUCUGUAACUUUUAAUGUUCAGUUGCCCCAUUUAAAAACUUGCACAGGCUUGAUAAAUGAGUCAGUUAAUGUGAUGCACUGUAGUAGGCAUUUGUACUUGCCCUUCCCUACCAUCGGAGGGCAGCAGAUUGUGAAUUUGGCUUUUAAUCUUAUUACCGAAAUAAUUCUUUUUCUCUAGCACUCAUCUGGUUUUUGCUUCAGGACCCAGACUGUACUUAUCCAACACAUAUAUAAAAACAAUAUUAUAACCUGUAUAUAUUGCCAUCUGUGUCAUAUUUUAUUGUGUGCAGUUAGACUUGAUAAGCAUAUUUUGUUUGAUAUUUAAUCUUGCUAUUAUAUUUUAUGUUUUUGAUUUUUGCAUUUAGCAUUGUUUUGUUUUUUU
Molecule: long non-coding RNA, 2066 nt
Organism: Cyprinus carpio carpio
Lineage: Eukaryota; Metazoa; Chordata; Actinopteri; Cypriniformes; Cyprinidae
Source: Ensembl